AGUGAACGCUGGCGGUAGGCCUAACACAUGCAAGUCGAACGGCAGCACAGUAAGAGCUUGCUCUUACGGGUGGCGAGUGGCGGACGGGUGAGGAAUACAUCGGAAUCUACUUUUUCGUGGGGGAUAACGUAGGGAAACUUACGCUAAUACCGCAUACGACCUACGGGUGAAAGCAGGGGAUCUUCGGACCUUGCGCGAUUGAAUGAGCCGAUGUCGGAUUAGCUAGUUGGCGGGGUAAAGGCCCACCAAGGCGACGAUCCGUAGCUGGUCUGAGAGGAUGAUCAGCCACACUGGAACUGAGACACGGGCCAGGCUCCUAGGGGAGGCAGCAGGGGGGAAUAUGGGACAAGGGGCGCAAGCCUGAUCCAGCCAUACCGCGGGGGUGAAGAAGGCCUUCGGGUUGGAAAGCCCUUUUGUUGGGAAAGAAAAGCAGCAGGUUAAUACCCCGCUGUUCUGACGGUACCCAAAGAAUAAGCACCGGCUAACUUCGUG
This 492-nucleotide ribosomal RNA is filed under the name uncultured bacterium. Its description in RNAcentral is "partial 16S ribosomal RNA". It matches the Rfam family "Bacterial small subunit ribosomal RNA", at positions 29 to 507 of the family's 1533-position model. The record is from RNAcentral.